UGGGAAGCCCGCCUCAAGAUUAGGUCACCCACUACGUAAGUAGGUAAGACCCCUGGAAGACUACCAGGUAGAUAGGCGGCAUGUGUACGGGCAGCAAUGCCCU
Molecule: ribosomal RNA, 103 nt
Filed under: Chloroflexi bacterium RBG_13_56_8
Lineage: Bacteria; Bacillati; Chloroflexota
Description: partial 23S ribosomal RNA
Rfam family: Bacterial large subunit ribosomal RNA
Source: RNAcentral